UGGGGAAUUUUGGACAAUGGGCGAAAGCCUGAUCCAGCAAUGCCGCGUGUGUGAAGAAGGCCUUCGGGUUGUAAAGCACUUUUGUCCGGAAAGAAAUCCUUGGCUCUAAUACAGUCGGGGGAUGACGGUACCGGAAGAAUAAGCACCGGCUAACUACGUGCCAGCAGCCGCGGUAAUACGUAGGGUGCAAGCGUUAAUCGGAAUUACUGGACGUAAAGCGUGCGCAGGCGGUUUGCUAAGACCGAUGUGAAAUCCCAGGGCUCAACCUGGGAACUGCAUUGGUGACUGGCAGGCUAGAGUAUGGCAGAGGGGGGUAGAAUUCCACGUGUAGCAGUGAAAUGCGUAGAGAUGUGGAGGAAUACCGAUGGCGAAGGCAGCCCCCUGGGCCAAUACUGACGCUCAUGCACGAAAGCGUGGGGAGCAAACAGGAUUAGAUACCCUGGUAGUCCACGCCCUAAACGAUGUCAACUAGUUGUUGGGGAUUCAUUUNAUUAGUAACGUAGCUAACGCGUGAAGUUGACCGCCUGGGGAGUACGGUCGCAAGAUUAAAACUCAAAUGAAUUGACGGGGUCAUAGCUGUUUCC
RNAcentral lists this ribosomal RNA (584 nucleotides) under uncultured bacterium. RNAcentral describes it as "partial 16S ribosomal RNA". It matches the Rfam family "Bacterial small subunit ribosomal RNA", at positions 355 to 937 of the family's 1533-position model. The record is from RNAcentral.